Molecule: ribosomal RNA, 567 nt
Filed under: uncultured bacterium
Lineage: Bacteria
Description: bacterial SSU rRNA
Rfam family: Bacterial small subunit ribosomal RNA
Source: RNAcentral
CCUACGGGAGGCAGCAGUGGGGAAUAUUGGGCAAUGGAGGGAACUCUGACCCAGCGACGCCGCGUGCGGGAUGAAGGCCUUCGGGUUGUAAACCGCUUUCAGCAAGGAAGAAGCGAAAGUGACGGUACUUGCAGAAGAAGCACCGGCUAACUAUGUGCCAGCAGCCGCGGUAAUACAUAGGGUGCAAGCGUUGUCCGGAAUUAUUGGGCGUAAAGAGCUCGUAGGUGGUUCGUCACGUCGGAUGUGAAAAUCUGGGGCUUAACCCCAGACCUGCAUUCGAUACGGGCGAGCUAGAGUGUGGUAGGGGAGACUGGAAUUCCUGGUGUAGCGGUGGAAUGCGCAGAUAUCAGGAGGAACACCAAUGGCGAAGGCAGGUCUCUGGGCCAUUACUGACACUGAGGAGCGAAAGCGUGGGGAGCGAACAGGAUUAGAUACCCUGGUAGUCCACGCCGUAAACGGUGGGCACUAGUUGUGGGAACCUUCCACGGUUUCUGCGACGCAGCUAACGCAUUAAGUGCCCCGCCUGGGGAGUACGAUCGCAAGAUUAAAACUCAAAUGAAUUGACGG